GCAGGCUGCAAAAUAUGUCAAUGAUGAAGUCAAGGAGCAUAGUAAUGAAGAGGAUUGUGUUAUUAGUAGCCAGUCUUCCGAUAAACUCAGAUGUCCUAAAAGUCAGUGGCCUUGUGACUCAUUCCAAAGUAAAGAUGGUCAAUGCACAAAUGGGGAUGACAUGUCUGAUGUCGAGACCGGUAGUCACAUCUUCAGAGGUUUCCAAGUCAACCUCAAAGAGGCAUGUAGUAAAUCAUUCACAGUCUUGUUUUUUUUUUUUUUUAGUAAGAAUGAUUUUAUUUUUAGUAAGAAUGAUUUUAUUUUUAGUAAGAAUGAUCCCAUGACUUAUCACGUAAAUUUGUAAUGGUUCCAGUAUCUGCACUAAAAUCUAGACACAAGAAACAUUUCCAUUUUUCUAAUAAGAUGUAUAUUUGAGAUGGACUAACAAUUUUAUUGCCAAUAAAAUGAAUUUCGAUAGUUCAAGCGACACACAUAAACAGUGGAUUUUUAUAAAUCUCGUCCGGUCAUCAUCGCCUUUAGCAUCCCAUCAAGAUCAUGUGAACAGCAUAAAGGAUAAUAAAUAUUUGAUUUUCCAACCUUUUUUUGAAUUGUCUCUAUUUGAUUAAAUGGAUAGGGCGUUAUGUUGAUUAAUACAAAUCCAUUAUCGAUAGUUGAACUUGUUUUGCGGAUCGGAAUCAUGCCUUUUUAUAUUCUUUUAACGGAUCUUUACCAUUUCUAAUACUGUUUUUGCUAUUUUGUUUGUUAACAGUGGGAGGAGAACAUUGACGAGUAUGUCAGUAUUCACUACAGUGAAGAUGUUGUAGACUUGAAACUGGAAUACCAAAAGGUAUGGACAGUAUUUUUAAGUCACCGUAGUCUGAUAUUCGGGGCAUGUUCUUUUUUAUCUGUUCGUCUGAUUGUUUGUCCGCAAAAACUUUAACCGUAGCCAUAAUUUUGGAAGGGUGGUGAUCGGGCUUCCAUAUUUCACAUUAUAUCAUGUAUUCCGUGUAAAAAGACCCUUUCAUAUCAAACCUUGUGUUUAACCUCCUGAUUUUGACCUUGAAGUUUGGCUAUACGGGGACAUCAGUGUCUCACAAACACAUCUUGUUGAUUGUUGUUUUAUGUCCGAUUUAAUUUUUUUUUUUUUGGGAUAUAGAACUGUAGUUGAAGUUGCACACAUUUUGACCCAUGUACAUGUAUGGACUUCAGGGUCGAAGCUAUUGUCUUUAUGAAUCAAAUUGUCUGACUUGUUUCAUACCGAUUGUUAAGUUCUUGGCACACUGAUUUUGACUACGUAUAACUUCGUUUACCUGAUCAAGGUAUAGGGCUCACGGUGGGUGUGACCGGUCGACAGGGGAUGCUUACUCCUCCCAGGCACCUCAUUCGACCUCUGGUAUAUACAGGGUUUCGUGGUUUUUUUUAUUUUUUAUUUACAAAUCCAAUUCUGGGCCCUGUCGGAUAUACAAGCUUAAGAAAAGAAGUUAUACAUACAUAUAUAUAUAUAUAUAUAUAUAUAUAUAUAUAAAAGCACUGAAAAGGCCACGACACUGUUGGUUAUUUAAAACUCAAAUUUUCGACGCAACCCGCGUCUUUAUCAAGAGACAUAAAUUACAUAAACAAAUAACACACAAAAACGACAAGUAUCGAUAAACUACAUUGGUGAGAAGAGUGAUACACUAUUGUACUGAGUGAUAAAAAUGGUGGUGGUUACGUUGUAAAGCGUGUUUACUGACUAUGGUUUAGAGAGUUUGUACCAUGGUCGGGUCGGGAUGAAAAUAAGAUUAUUCUUGAAAAAUUACAGAAAUCAGAAAAAUUUAGAGGGAAAUCUUACAAAACAAUGUGAUUAUGGAAUAAAAUGGUGGGAAGAUAAUGAUAUGGAGUGAUUAAGGUAGCAGGGGACAGUUUCGCACUAUAGGCCCGGUCAACUUUUUCAAAAAAUGGAAUUGCCCUGUAUUUGAAGUGAUAUUACAUGUGUAAAAAUGUAUACAAUAAUUUUAGGAUGCAUGUCAAAUGUAGCUGAGUGCUUAGUAAAAAUGUUGAUAUACAACAUGUAGGUGUCACCAUGAUUCCUAGCAUAUAGAUGGGUGCAAAUACGAAACUAAGACACGUGGUCAGUUGCUGAAGAAAUUCCGGUGAAAACAUGCAGGGUCUAGCAAAAGGUCUGUAGCUGUGAGGGAAGGUGGAUGGCCCCAUAUGAGAGGUGUCACCAUGAUUCCUAGCAUAUAGAUGGGUGCAAAUACGAAACUAAGACACGUGGUCAGUUGCUGAAGAAAUUCCGGUGAAAACAUGCAGGGUCUAGCAAAAGGUCUGUAGCUGUGAGGGAAGGUGGAUGGCCCCAUAUGAGAGGUAGAUUUUUGAGAAGGGCAGAUAGGGUUCUUGAUUGUGCACAGUGUCUAAAUCCCCAUGUUUGGUACUGUGAUGGUGUGGGGGUGGUGCGGAUUAGCCCAAAUGAGGGAAAAUCAAAGCAAAAAAGGGGAACCUGCUCAGAGCAUGUUUUGUGCACCAGCACCAGUAUUUAUAGAUUACAUGUAAUUUAGGGUCAUAAUUUAUUAACUACACUAAUAUGAAAUACAAGUAUUGACAUAAAAGGGAAAUAUGAUUUUUCAUUAGUCUGUCAUAAUCUGACUUUGGUGUAUACCCCCUAUCCACAUGUUUCAAAACCAAAGAAACUGUCCCCUGCCACCUAAGUUCAAAACAAUAUUAGGUAGUCCGUACCAUUGA
Molecule: long non-coding RNA, 2700 nt
Organism: Ostrea edulis (European flat oyster)
Lineage: Eukaryota; Metazoa; Mollusca; Bivalvia; Ostreida; Ostreidae
Exons: 3
Source: RefSeq, a predicted model, not a curated record